AAGAGAUAUGAUCUGAAAAGUGAGGGGAAAAAAAGAAUGGAGUACUUUGAAGAGAAGCUAAAAUGUGGAAUGUUUCACCUUAAAGAUCUAGUUCCAGGACCCCGAUUUCUCUAGAAAUCCACAGCAACACUUGAACCGCUGAACAAAUACAGUCUGGAUUCCUGAGACCAAAGGGCUCGGGAAAAUCGCUGAAAACCCGCUAUACUGGAACAGCUGCUCUCUGCCAGAACAUCAAUCAAAGGGCAGCUUACUGGAACCUUGAAGACCACCUAAGGAGCUACUUCCCCUGUUUUAAGAUAAACUGAAGCCCAGAAGUGUAUUGUGGAAGCUGGAGUCAGAGUUUGACUCCUGAUCCUCUCACUGAAUGUGUGGAGGCCCCCCAAAAUCUCAUGUUCCUGGGAGAAGUUAGCUGACUUUUCAAUUUUUCUUAGUGCUGGAAAGUCAUCCGUGGAGGAUGAAGUCAUCCAAGA
Long non-coding RNA from Prionailurus viverrinus (fishing cat), 470 nucleotides. RefSeq lists it as uncharacterized. Lineage: Eukaryota; Metazoa; Chordata; Mammalia; Carnivora; Felidae. The transcript has 4 exons. The record is from RefSeq and is a predicted model, not a curated record.